RNAcentral lists this ribosomal RNA (253 nucleotides) under uncultured bacterium. RNAcentral's name for it is "partial 16S ribosomal RNA". It matches the Rfam family "Bacterial small subunit ribosomal RNA", at positions 524 to 776 of the family's 1533-position model. The record is from RNAcentral.
UACAGAGGUCCCGAGCGUUGUUCGGAUUCACUGGGCGUAAAGGGUGCGUAGGUGGCUGGAAAAGUUUGAUGUGAAAUCUCCGGGCUCAACCCGGAAAAGGCAUUGAAUACUGUCGAGCUGGAGGGUUGGAGGGGGGACUGGAAUUCUUGGUGUAGCAGUGAAAUGCGUAGAUAUCAGGAGGAAUACCGGUGGCGAAAGCGACUCUCUGGACGGCAACUGACGCUGAGGCACGAAAGCGUGGGGAGCAAACAGG